UGGGGAAUAUUGGACAAUGGGGGAAACCCUGAUCCAGCCAUGCCGCGUGAGUGAUGAAGGCCUUAGGGUUGUAAAGCUCUUUUACCAGGGAAGAUGAUGACGGUACCUGGAGAAUAAGCACUGGCUAACUUCGUGCCAGCAGCCGCGGUAAUACGAAGGGUGCUAGCGUUGUUCGGAUUCACUGGGCGUAAAGCGCGCGUAGGCGGCUUUGCAAGUCAGGGGUGAAAUGCCAAGGCUUAACCUUGGAACUGCCUUUGAAACUGCAAAGCUAGAGUGUCGGAGGGGAUAGCGGAAUUCCUAAUGUAGAGGUGAAAUUCGUAGAUAUUAGGAGGAACACCGGUGGCGAAGGCGGCUAUCUGGACGACAACUGACGCUUAGGCGCGAAAGCGCGGGGAUCAAACAG
RNAcentral lists this ribosomal RNA (403 nucleotides) under uncultured bacterium. RNAcentral's name for it is "bacterial SSU rRNA". It matches the Rfam family "Bacterial small subunit ribosomal RNA", at positions 355 to 775 of the family's 1533-position model. The record is from RNAcentral.